GAGAAAUAGUUUUGGUGAGUAUUUUCUAUCCGACCAGUGGCUUCUAUCCGAACAGUGGAAGCUGGACAGCCACGGCUGACUGUUGUUCUGUUGGCGGGCCAGCGCCGCCUCCCACCGGCCACCAUACGAUGACGGCCGCCGGAGACCGAGCACCGGUACCACCGGACAAAAAGUGGAAUCGGCAAGGCCGGGCUAGCGACUGUCUGCAGAUCGGCAGAGAAGAGCUGAGCUGCACCUACGCUGCAGGGCAACUACCGACUGCAGUGGCUUUACCUGUUUUUGUGUGACCAGCGAGGAAUAAAACGGGCGCGAGACGGAGCAGCGAGACACUCCUCACACAGUCCACACCACGUUCGACAACACCCACUCUGCAACACUCCACUCAACAUGCACAAGUAAGUACCUACGUAAGAAUGACUCAGACCGGACGGUCUGCCCCAGCCAGCUCUCUUGGAGCUGUGCUGUGGGGACAAGGUGACGUGACGUCUUCUAGGAAGUCCGUUUAACUUGCCGAACUAUUCGGUAUAUGGUUGAACUGUUUGUUUUGUCUUUCGGCUAACCAUUCGGUUAUCUCUUUCGGCCUUUUUUUUGGUGACCGUUGACCGCCGUUGUCCGGUCUCACUGCGCUGUUUGUGUUUCAGCCUGCCCGCCAUCAUGACGCUGACCAGGGAGCCGAUUGGCUCGGCUUGGCGGCAGCAGGCUGUUCUUUCGACACUCUUCCGUCUUCUUCGAUAUCAGCCUGUGCUAAUGCAACGGCUAUUCGUGCAGGACUGAUUUUCGGCCUUGUCUCGUUUAAUGACUCGAUCGCUUCCUUUUGACAUUUUGGUUUCGACCUCAUCUUUUGGCUCAUUUCAAUAUAUCUACUUUUAACUCAUGUUCACGUCUGUAUGGUGGAUGGUGUUGGGAACGAAGGAGGGAAAGGAACCAGAAACACACAUAUAUCGAUCGCGUUUUCAUCAGUAAUACCCCUAGACAGCAUAUAGAGUAAAAGAUUGAAGAAUAUAAUCCCCUAGACAACAGAUAAAUAAUCAGGAUGCAAUGUAGGCUAUACAAAGGGACCAACUUCAAAUUACAUUGGGGGCUCGUCCGGGAUCUCAAACUCUGUUCUGCUCGAACAGGACCCUGAUUAUAUAUGCUUCUGAUUCAUUGCAUGUUCUUGCUUGUAAAGUUUUCAGGUUCUUUGUUGUUCCAGAAUGAUUCGUCGUUGGUGUAACUUGCUGCUCGUGGUUCGUAAACUUUCCGUUUCACCGUGUUCGUGAAUUGACUGGUCACAAUUUGUGUAUUUCCAGUUGCCUUUAUUUGAUGGUGAAUGGCUCGAGUUCCAGACUCUACUAGGUUCGUCAGGCCAAUUGUUGGUCCGCAUGCUGCAUGGACAACCUACAUUGGACGCACCGUCGAGGUCGCCAUCUCUUGAAGUUCAUUUGAUUCAGGUUAGUCUUGCUUGCUUCUGUGGGUCUACUUACUUUGCCUUCUGGGUAUACGCUAUUCGGUCGUAUGCCUCGCAAAUUAAUUCGUUCGCAUCGUUGGCAUGACAGCAAAUGGCUACCUAACUUCAUAGGAGGUAUAAAUGAAUGUCCUAAUAUGCGCCAUUGAUUACAUCCAUUCGAUUCCUUAGACUUGAAAAUAUGUUUGGAUGAUACAGGACUUGGUAUUCUUGAACUUUAUUAAGAAGUUGCCCGUAUAAGGUGCUCAUAUAAUGCCGACUUGGUGUUGUUGAGCUGGUCCGUAGGUUUGAUCUGAUAACUUCGACUUGGUGUUAUUGAGAUUUGUCUUGACCUUUAAUGCUCAGAUGUUACUGACUUGGCUUUAGGGAGCUAACACUGACUUCGUUGCCAUGACACGUUCUGAUGAUACCGACUUGGUGUCAUUGAACUUUGGGGUAGUUGCCAUAGGACGUCAGUGACCAGGUGCAUGGCAGCACAGUGGUCAGCUAGCGUAUUCGGGGCAAUAACCAUCCACAGAUAAAACAUCGCGAGUUCGAUCAUCUGAUCGCCAAACCGGAUAUGCGAUUUGAUCAGUGUUUUCAAGAUCGCUGAAGUAUCCCAUGAUCAAGGUUUCCGGAGUUCAGAGGUCCGUUGACAUAACCUUACAUGGCCCUGACACAGUCCGAAGUGUCAUUGUGACUGAGUGGAUUGAUGCCUCGCUGACAUGAUUAGUUAUUCUUUUGUGGUUUUACUUGUUGUUUGGGUUUUAAUUAUUGUUUCAUGGAGUUGUUUCAUGGCUGAGUUGUUGACAAGGUUCAGUGGAACAAAAUCGGUUCAAUGUUUCACAGUUUGAGAUGUCAUUUAUUUGUGAGAGUACAACGUCGUUUACAUCUAUUCAGUUCUUACACAGGAAUUUCAACAUUUCAGAGCAUGUGGCAGGUUUCCGGCAAGUCGAAUUCGGGUGAAGUAAUUCUCUCUGUGUUAGACACUUUGCCCUAGUUGAUAGGUAAAUUUCGUAUUAAUUAGUCAUUAUUGGUUAACAUUGGAUGGCAAUAUACCUUUGCUUCGGUUCAAACAGACAGUCAUCUCAUCAGUCAGUUGAGGGUUGUGAUUUGUGAAGAUAAUCCCAGUCAACAUUGGUGAUACUCCCGUCCAGUUGGGAAGUAUUUGACAGAAUGAUAAACGCAUCUGUUAUUUGGCGGGUGAUGUGCUGGGCCAGAAAUGUGGUUUCCGUUUAUUGAGUAGGUCGUGCCGUCUGCCUACGUCCCUGAGAGAAGGGCGAGUGCUAGGUAGGACGUGCAGCCUACAGACGUCUCUUGGAGGAGGACGUCACCGGACCGUCUGCUCGCGUGGAGCAGGACGGCAGUCGCUGCCCGGACGCGUAGGAGCUGAGGAGAACUGGUGAUAGGGCCUGCCCCACCUAUCUACCAGAGUUGAGCAGCAUGGCAGAGGGUGGUCCUCUGGGGGUCCAUGCCCACCGAACAUACACCGGCCGGGUAUGGGUGGAAUUCUCGGUCAGCUUACGCUCUAGGCAUAAGGGCUGGGCGUGCAGUGACGGGAGCAGCAGGUCACUGGCACAAGCGACAAUCCAUGCUGAGGAGGUGUUCCUAGUAUGUGAAAAACGGAACCAUUUGAGCGUGUAAGGCGGCAAACCCCACCGCAAAUACACUGCUACCGGAGUAUAAAGAGUCGAACACUCCGGCGACUACAAGAGAGAGGCCAGCAGCAAACCCGACUAACAGCUUAUAUGUUUCAGAAGGUGACGUCGAUAGGAAAGGUGUCUUAUUGGGUGAUGACGACUCGAUUGCUCGAAUUUGUUGCACAGGUGCUGCAGGUACAGCAAACCUGACCAGAAGCUUUAUUGUUUCAGAAGAUGACAUCGAUAGGAAAGGUGUCUUAGGAUGAUGACUCGGUUGCUUUGCUUCAUUUGCACAGGUGUUGCAGAAGCAGCAAAACCGAUCGACAGUUUACUUGUUUCAGAAGUUGACUGCAGCGUCGAUAAGAAAGGUGACUCGUUUGCUGUGCUUCGUUGCACAGAUGUUGCAGAAACAGCAAACCCGACAAACGGCUGAUAUGUGAGUACACUUCAGGUGACUGCAGAGGGAAAGACAGUGGUUAAGGGGGAAAGUGGUUUUCGUCUCGUUUUAUCUCCAUUCCAUGGCAGGAGGUAAGACGACUCGAAUCCUUGCUUAGUUGCACUUCGCAAGUCAUAGCAAGUGCAGAACUCUUCAGGAGCCCAGUCCAUGGCUCAUCUUAAAGGUGGAAGAUAUACUUAUACGCUUCAUGUCCUUAUUCAUCGAAAAUGAAUGCGUGGGUCUUGCGGUCGAGAUACCGUGGCAAAGACAAAUAAUAAUUCGGCCCAACAGCAGUCACAACGUGAGCUGACUGAAGCCGAAAGGUUUCGAUUUCAGCGCAGACACCACACCGAGUGGAGGUCCUGAUGGAUUUAUCCGACCCUGUAUGGAGCGCCACCGACUCGUGAGUGACCAGCGACGGUGAUGUCGGGUCACGAACAAAGUAAGGACAACCUUUGAGAUCGAAAGAUCAAAAGCCAACGGGCAUGUGCUCACUUGUUAAAGUAAAGCAGAUGAGUUUGCUACAAUCUACUUCAGAGUAUGCAUGAAGGUCGUGACAAGGGUCAGUUGGUGCUUGAGGUACAAGUUAUGGUGGAGCAACAAUCCUGUGCAUUGCCUUGAAUCUAGAUCCAGCGACAAUCAAUGGAUCUGUGCAGACCAAAGAUGCGCGGGCAUAGAACCGGCAUAGUCAUAGGACAAAUUGCUCGUGUGAUACGAUGCUUGCGUCGUCUGGUGCCUCUCAAUGUCCUCAAGUCAUUGGCGCCAGCAGCAGAGCGAGUCCUACACAGGUAUCUGAGAUACCAGAAGGUCUACAGGCACAACGAACCUCUCGGCAUGACAGAUUGACUUCAACCCUAACACCUCACCCGAGCCCUUAGGUCCCACGUCUCGAUGCUGACUGCUGCCAGAAGUCUGAGCCGCAUCCUUCUGUUAUGACAGAGGCAAACGAUCACUCGCCCUUUGACUGUAACUUAUCUUCCUCCAUGCGUGGCAAUUCAGAGCAGACGGAUGGACACAUCACGCUAACGCUCGGGAAUUUUAAAGUCCAAGCCCGCAUUGGGAAUUGUUAACAUGAGUACCUUUCAUAUUACAUGGCGUGUUCCUCUGCUAAUCCUUUUCGGUUAACCCCGAUAUUCCUUAUCCUUGAAACUGUCACAGGUCAGUAGCAAGAAGAUGUGGUUCCCAGAAUAGCAUAAAUGUAAAUAUGCUUUGGUUGCUUUACCAGUAUUUGGCAUCAAGCAGCAGUACCAAUUUGCAGUGCUUGGGUUAUUGAAGCCAUACGAUCUGAUGAAGUUAUGAUCAAUUAAGAUUCAAGCUACUUAGUACUUUGUAUUUUGUACUAAAGUCAUAUUUUUAGGAAGAUACAAAACGGUUUAAGACAGAGGGUUUGUCGCAUUUGACUUAUCAACGAGUCAAACUCAAUUUAGACUGUGAACCAUCUAACUAUUACGUAUGUGUACCCGUUCAUCCCCAAAGGUUACAGUUCUUCGUUCGCUAUAAAAAUGGAAGGGAUGUGAGAAAUAGUUUUGGUGAGUAUUUUCUAUCCGACCAGUGGCUUCUAUCCGAACAGUGGAAGCUGGACAGCCACGGCUGACUGUUGUUCUGUUGGCGGGCCAGCGCCGCCUCCCACCGGCCACCAUACGAUGACGGCCGCCGGAGACCGAGCACCGGUACCACCGGACAAAAAGUGGAAUCGGCAAGGCCGGGCUAGCGACUGUCUGCAGAUCGGCAGAGAAGAGCUGAGCUGCACCUACGCUGCAGGGCAACUACCGACUGCAGUGGCUUUACCUGUUUUUGUGUGACCAGCGAGGAAUAAAACGGGCGCGAGACGGAGCAGCGAGACACUCCUCACACAGUCCACACCACGUUCGACAACACCCACUCUGCAACACUCCACUCAACAUGCACAAGUAAGUACCUACGUAAGAAUGACUCAGACCGGACGGUCUGCCCCAGCCAGCUCUCUUGGAGCUGUGCUGUGGGGACAAGGUGACGUGACGUCUUCUAGGAAGUCCGUUUAACUUGCCGAACUAUUCGGUAUAUGGUUGAACUGUUUGUUUUGUCUUUCGGCUAACCAUUCGGUUAUCUCUUUCGGCCUUUUUUUUGGUGACCGUUGACCGCCGUUGUCCGGUCUCACUGCGCUGUUUGUGUUUCAGCCUGCCCGCCAUCAUGACGCUGACCAGGGAGCCGAUUGGCUCGGCUUGGCGGCAGCAGGCUGUUCUUUCGACACUCUUCCGUCUUCUUCGAUAUCAGCCUGUGCUAAUGCAACGGCUAUUCGUGCAGGACUGAUUUUCGGCCUUGUCUCGUUUAAUGACUCGAUCGCUUCCUUUUGACAUUUUGGUUUCGACCUCAUCUUUUGGCUCAUUUCAAUAUAUCUACUUUUAACUCA
Molecule: long non-coding RNA, 5888 nt
Organism: Amphibalanus amphitrite
Lineage: Eukaryota; Metazoa; Arthropoda; Thecostraca; Balanomorpha; Balanidae
Exons: 2
Source: RefSeq, a predicted model, not a curated record